UGUGAGGUCAGGUGAGGUCUCUGUGAGUUCAGAGAUGGUCUCUGUGAUGUUGGAGGAGGUCUUUAUUAGGUCAGCCGAGGUCUCUGUGAGAUCAGGGGUUUCUGUUAGGUCAGGGGAGUUCUCUGUGUGCUCAGAGAGGGUCUCAGGAGGUCAGACAGCACGUCUAUGAGGUCAGGGUGUUACCAAAAUCAAAGUGGGUUCCCUCCUUGCGACUUAAGUUAGCAUGAGCACUCUUAAGGAGCCCCCAAGCUAUUUGUUUGGGAACCUAAAUCUUCCCCCCUCGGUUUGUCAUCCAGCCCUUGGCUAUCGGGGACCACUGCUAACGCUGUGUAAUAGCUUCCCUUACUUCAUCCAGGCUGUUGUCAACUUGGAGAAUUCUGUGGUUGAAAUGGAGACCCUUCAAGCUCUCUAUGAGACGAUAAACCAGCGAUCUCCACUGAGCUCCUUGGAAGAUGGAAGUUAAAAUGAUUAACACUGCUGCAUUGGAAAUUAAUGACAUGAGAUUGUUCUUACACGUUUUUCACCGUAUUUUACAUAUGAGAUUUCAGUUUGAUUUGUGAUAUCCAAAAAGUGGACUUACUGGAGAACACUUAACAUUUUUGUGUCCACUAUUGGCUUGUAGAGCUUAUGGCUCUUUACUGUUGCAGGGAGGGUCUCUGAGCACUUCUCUCUACCAUUUGUUUUUAGUUUUGCAUGGUCUGGCCAUAUAUACUUUCGUUGGGCAGCUAAAGUAUGCAUAAAAUUUUGUGAGAAUUAUUUUAUAAUUAAAUUAUUAAGAACUUAAUUAAAUAUAACUAAAAUUAUUAUAUAAGAAUUCAAUGCUAACAUUAGGUGAAAUAAGAGUUUAACACAGAAAAUAAGGUACUUUAAGUCCCCUCUCCUAAAAAGGGGGGGUAAAUCACAAAGGCUUUGGUGUUUUCAGAGAAGAUAUGGCAUCCAUUUGUAGCUAGGAGCAUAAACAUUGCUUGAAUGUGUGAAAAUUAGUAAAAGGAAACCUCAUUUAAAUGGAAGUGGGAGGCAAGAAAGGGGGAGCCCUCCCACACUACCACUCACUGUCAGUUACAGACCCCAACAGGAAGAAUCCUCAGCUAUGGAUCGCAACAGGAAGAAACACACAUUGCAAGUAGACACUACUUUAUACUCCAGCAGGAGGAAGGAAGAUUUCCUUCCUUGCCCAGCAACUCAGCCAAGAAGAAAUCGUCACCACGCUGUACUCCUGCUUUCCUGCAGUGGACUUUCAUUCAAAAAAACCCCCUCCUUUUUUUCUAUAAAGUAACGUUCCUCUCUUUUGCUUGUUGGACUUGCCUAUGGAUUUUGCUAUAGCUUGCUUGUCCUAAAUUGCAAUUCCUCUGCUAUUCCUGAGUAAACACAUUUAGC
RNAcentral lists this long non-coding RNA (1377 nucleotides) under Equus caballus (horse). RNAcentral describes it as "lncRNA (ENSECAG00000032842.3)". Lineage: Eukaryota; Metazoa; Chordata; Mammalia; Perissodactyla; Equidae. The record is from RNAcentral.